UACAGAGGGUGCGAGCGUUAAUCGGAAUUACUGGGCGUAAAGCGUGCGUAGACGGUUAUGUAAGUCGGGUGUGAAAGCCCCGGGCUCAACCUGGGAAUUGCAUUCGAGACUGCAUAGCUAGGGUGCGGAAGAGGGAAGCGGAAUUUCCGGUGUAGCGGUGAAAUGCGUAGAUAUCGGAAGGAACACCAGUGGCGAAAGCGGCUUCCUGGUCCAGCACCGACGUCAGGCACGAAAGCGUGGGGAGCAAACAGG
RNAcentral lists this ribosomal RNA (252 nucleotides) under uncultured bacterium. Its description in RNAcentral is "partial 16S ribosomal RNA". It matches the Rfam family "Bacterial small subunit ribosomal RNA", at positions 524 to 776 of the family's 1533-position model. The record is from RNAcentral.